Dermochelys coriacea (leatherback sea turtle) is the source of this 205-nucleotide long non-coding RNA. RefSeq lists it as uncharacterized. Lineage: Eukaryota; Metazoa; Chordata; Testudines; Dermochelyidae. The record is from RefSeq and is a predicted model, not a curated record. The transcript is spliced from 3 exons.
AGCAGCUGGUCCUGGAACCCACAAGGGGAGAGGCAAUUCUUGAUUUAGUUCUAAGUGGGGCACAGGAUCUGGUAAAAGAGGUGAAUAUAGCCGAACCACUUGGUAAUAAUGACCAUAAUAUAAUUAGGUUAAACAUCCCUGUGAAAACACCACAGCAGCUCAACAUGAUAGCGUUUAAUUUCAGAAAGGGGAACUACACAAAAAU